UUAACUAUUAUAUAGUACUCAGACAUCACUAAAAUUCAGAGUUUGAUCCUCUGGCGGGCACAUGCAGGCAGAGCCCACAGUGGAGGCCACGGCCCGCCAAAGCAACAAAAGUAUGUAGACACGGGUGGGAUUCACUCGGCCCCUAGCUCGAGGGCCAGGGCAUCAGUAUCCCGCGCGACUGGUAAUGCUGUGAGUUUAGGACAGCCCCACAAGGUCGAGUAAUCGACGUCGCUUGGGUACACCGGUGAUCGUUUUUUAAUGAUCCUUCCGCAGGUUCACCUACGGAAA
This 288-nucleotide unclassified non-coding RNA is filed under the name uncultured fungus. RNAcentral describes it as "sequence contains ITS1, 5.8S rRNA gene". Lineage: Eukaryota; Fungi. The record is from RNAcentral.